UGGAGGGAUUCCCGAGCGGUCAAAGGGGGCAGACUGUAAAUCUGUUGCGUGAGCUUCGAAGGUUCGAAUCCUUCUCCCUCCACCAA
RNAcentral lists this transfer RNA (86 nucleotides) under Neisseria flavescens SK114. Its description in RNAcentral is "tRNA-Tyr". It matches the Rfam family "tRNA". Rfam says of the family: Transfer RNA (tRNA) molecules are approximately 80 nucleotides in length. Their secondary structure includes four short double-helical elements and three loops (D, anti-codon, and T loops). The record is from RNAcentral. Lineage: Bacteria; Pseudomonadati; Pseudomonadota; Betaproteobacteria; Neisseriales; Neisseriaceae.